UGAAGUNAAAGGCUGUGGCUUAACCAUAGUACGCUUUGGAAACUGUUUAACUUGAGUGCAGAAGGGGAGAGUGGAAUUCCAUGUGUAGCGGUGAAAUGCGUAGAUAUAUGGAGGAACACCGGUGGCGAAUGCGGCUCUCUGGUCUGUAACUGACGCUGAGGCUCGAAAGCGUGGGGAGCGAACAGGAUUAGAUACCCUGGUAGUCCACGCCGUAAACGAUGAGUGCUAGGUGUUAGGCCCUUUCCGGGGCUUAGUGCCGCAGCUAACGCAUUUAGCACUCCGCCUGGGGAGUACGACCGCAAGGUUGAAACUCAAAGGAAUUGACGGGGGCCCGCACAAGCGGUGGAGCAUGUGGUUUAAUUCGAAGCAACGCGAAGAACCUUACCAGGUCUUGACAUCCCGAUGCCCGCUCUAGAGAUAGAGUUUUACUUCGGUACAUCGGUGACAGGUGGUGCAUGGUUGUCGUCAGCUCGUGUCGUGAGAUGUUGGGUUAAGUCCCGCAACGAGCGCAACCCUUAUUGUUAGUUGCCAUCAUUCAGUUGGACACUCUAGCGAGACUGCCGGUAAUAAACCGGAGGAAGGUGGGGAUGACGUCAAAUCAUCAUGCCCCUUAUGACCUGGGCUACACACGUGCUACGAUGGCUGGUACAACGAGUCGCAAGUCGGUGACGGCAAGCUAAUCUCUUAAAGCCAGUCUCAGUUCGGAUUGUAG
Molecule: ribosomal RNA, 712 nt
Filed under: uncultured bacterium
Lineage: Bacteria
Description: bacterial SSU rRNA
Rfam family: Bacterial small subunit ribosomal RNA
Source: RNAcentral